GAUGAACGCUAGCUACAGGCUUAACACAUGCAAGUCGAGGGACCGGCGCACGGGUGAGUAACACGUAUCCAACCUGCCCUUUACUCGGGGAUAGCCUUUCGAAAGAAAGAUUAAUACCCGAUAUAAAGGAUGGGGAUGCGUUACAUUAGGUUGUUGGUGAGGGAACGGCUCACCAAGCCUUCGAUGGAUAGGGGUUCUGAGAGGAAGGUCCCCCACAUUGGAACUGAGACAUGGUCCAAACCCGGAGGGGAGGCUGGAGGGAGUAAUACUGGGGAAGGGGGGCUAGCCCGAACCAGCCAAGUAGCGUGAAGGAGGAAGGCGUUGGGGUCGUAAUCUUCUUUUAUAUAAGAAUAUGUAUUAUAUGAAUAAGGAUCGGCUAACUCCGUGCCAGCAGCCGCGGUAAUUC
This 406-nucleotide ribosomal RNA is filed under the name uncultured bacterium. RNAcentral describes it as "partial 16S ribosomal RNA". It matches the Rfam family "Bacterial small subunit ribosomal RNA", at positions 28 to 526 of the family's 1533-position model. The record is from RNAcentral.